Molecule: unclassified non-coding RNA, 254 nt
Filed under: uncultured fungus
Lineage: Eukaryota; Fungi
Description: partial contains 5.8S ribosomal RNA, internal transcribed spacer 2, and large subunit ribosomal RNA
Rfam family: 5.8S ribosomal RNA (bases 1-52)
Source: RNAcentral
AACGCACAUUGCGCCCGCCAGUACUCUGGCGGGCAUGCCUGUCCGAGCGUCAUUUCAACCCCUCGAGCCCCCGGGCCCGGUGUUGGGGACCGACCAAAGCCUCCGGGCGGUCGUCCCUGAAAUCUAGUGGCGGUCACGUCGCGGACCCUCUGCGUAGUAGCAACACCUCGCACUGGAGAGCGGCGCGCCCACGCCCCGAAACACUUCUUUCACAGGUUGACCUCGGAUCAGGUAGGAAUACCCGCUGAACUUAA